AUGUACUACGAUGAUCUCCCAUUGUGGGGAUUCAUCGGUAAGGUCGAGAAGGGAGGCAAGCCUGACCCGAGCGAGUGGAAGUACUACCUCUACAGGCACAUUAUCUUUGACAUCCUCUACAACAACGACCGUGUCAUUGAGAUCAAUGUGCAUACCGACCAGAGUGCACUGGUUGACCUGACAGAGGACAAGGAGGUUAAUGUGGACUUCCUUUACACUGUCAAGUGGAAGGAGACACCUACACCGUUCGAGAAGAGGAUGGAGAAGUAUUCCAGCUCCUCCAACAUGCCGCAUCACUUGGAGGUCCAUUGGUUCUCCAUUAUAAAUUCUUGUGUUACGGUCCUUCUCCUCACAGGGUUCUUGGCAACAAUCCUCAUGCGAGUUCUGAAGAAUGAUUUUGUUAAGUAUGCCCAUGAUGAGGAAGCAGCUGAUGACCAAGAAGAGUCUGGAUGGAAGUAUAUUCAUGGUGAUGUCUUCCGGUUCCCCAAGAACAAGUCAUUGUUUUCGGCUGCUCUUGGCACUGGAACUCAACUGUUUGCUCUAACAACCUUUAUAUUCCUGCUUGCCCUCGUUGGAGUAUUCUACCCUUACAAUCGUGGUGCCCUUUUCACCGCAUUGGUCGUCAUCUACGCACUCACCUCAGGAAUUGCUGGUUACAUUGCAACCUCUUUCUAUUGCCAGCUAGAGGGAAUGAACUGGGUGAGGAACUUGCUACUGACAGGAUGCCUGUUUUGUGGACCUCUCUUCCUGACAUUCUGUUUCUUGAACACUGUUGCCAUUGCUUAUAGUGCAACAGCAGCAUUGCCGUUUGGCACCAUCUGUGUCAUUGUGCUGAUCUGGACCUUAGUCACAUUCCCUCUACUAGUUUUGGGAGGCAUUGCUGGUAAAAACAGCAAGAGUGAAUUCCAAGCUCCUUGCCGUACCACCAAAUACCCUAGGGAGAUUCCUCCACUUCCCUGGUACCGGACAACAGUUCCGCAGAUGGCUAUGGCUGGAUUUUUGCCUUUCAGUGCUAUAUAUAUCGAGCUGUACUACAUCUUUGCUAGUGUUUGGGGCCACCGAAUUUACACAAUCUACAGCAUUCUCUUCAUAGUCUUCAUCAUCCUACUUAUUGUCACUGCCUUCAUUACUGUUGCGCUGACAUACUUCCAGCUUGCUGCUGAAGACCAUGAGUGGUGGUGGAGGUCAUUCCUAUGCGGAGGAUCAACUGGAUUUUUCGUCUAUGGCUACUGUCUGUACUACUACUACGCGCGAUCGGAUAUGUCUGGCUUCAUGCAGACCUCAUUCUUCUUUGGGUACAUGGCGUGCAUCUGCUAUGCAUUCUUCCUGAUGCUGGGUAUGGUGGGCUUCCGUGCCGCCUUGUUCUUUGUUCGGCACAUAUACAAGUCGAUCAAGUGUGAGUAA
This 1404-nucleotide ribosomal RNA is filed under the name Triticum aestivum (bread wheat). RNAcentral's name for it is "partial small subunit ribosomal RNA". Lineage: Eukaryota; Viridiplantae; Streptophyta; Magnoliopsida; Poales; Poaceae. The record is from RNAcentral.